This 464-nucleotide ribosomal RNA is filed under the name uncultured bacterium. Its description in RNAcentral is "partial 16S ribosomal RNA". It matches the Rfam family "Bacterial small subunit ribosomal RNA", at positions 339 to 795 of the family's 1533-position model. The record is from RNAcentral.
CUACGGGAGGCUGCAGUGGGGAAUAUUGCACAAUGGGCGCAAGCCUGAUGCAGCCAUGCCGCGUGUAUGAAGAAGGCCUUCGGGUUGUAAAGUACUUUCAGCGGGGAGGAAGGGAGUAAAGUUAAUACUUUUGCUCAUUGACGUUACCCGCAGAAGAAGCACCGGCUAACUCCGUGCCAGCAGCCGCGGUAAUACGGAGGGUGCAAGCGUUAAUCGGAAUUACUGGGCGUAAAGCGCACGCAGGCGGUUUGUUAAGUCAGAUGUGAAAUCCCCGGGCUCAACCUGGGAACUGCAUCUGAUACUGGCAAGCUUGAGUCUCGUAGAGGGGGGUAGAAUUCCAGGUGUAGCGGUGAAAUGCGUAGAGAUCUGGAGGGAUACCGGUGGCGAAGGCGGCCCCCUGGACGAAGACUGACGCUCAGGUGCGAAAGCGUGGGGAGCAAACAGGAUUAGAUACCCCCGUAGUC